This 158-nucleotide transfer-messenger RNA is filed under the name Gardnerella vaginalis. RNAcentral describes it as "partial transfer-messenger RNA". It matches the Rfam family "transfer-messenger RNA", at positions 1 to 148 of the family's 374-position model. From Rfam's summary of the family: Bacterial tmRNA, also known as 10Sa RNA or SsrA, is named for its dual tRNA and mRNA-like properties. Lineage: Bacteria; Bacillati; Actinomycetota; Actinomycetes; Bifidobacteriales; Bifidobacteriaceae. The record is from RNAcentral.
GGGGUCGAUCGGUUUCGACGGUGAUCUGUUCGCCGCGGGGAAGCGUGCCGAGAAUGCGAAAGUCCACUCGUAAACGUCCUUUCGCAAAAGAAUAAGUGCUAAAUCUAAUCGCACUGAGUUCGCUCUCGCUGCCUGAGCUUCGCGCCAGGAUUAACCAG